GCCAGGAAGGGCCACUGGAGCGGGAGGUCUAGGGCUAGUCUCGGGGAAUAACAGUGCCUGGGUCACGCCUAUUUUACAAACGCGAGCCCAGUUAAGGUCUGCGUAAGAAUUCUCGGGGGUUCUGCCCUCCAGUUCUCAAGCCACCACUGUCUUCAGGAUCCUUCCCUCCUAUGGUGCCCGGAGAGGUGUGGCAAGCUGGUACAGCUACCUCUUCCCUUUCUGGAUCUGAGGUUUCCCAGGCCCCGCUCGAGGGGGCAGCAGCCAGCUGCCAUGUCCUGAGGACGCUCCAACAGCUCUACAGAGAGGCCCGUGCAGUGAGGCGCUGAGCCCUCCAGCCCCAGGCCGGGUCUUCAGAGACCUCUUCUCUGCAGGUCACCCUGAGCCCCACUCAGCUAAGCCACUGACACAUUGCUGAUCCUAGAAACUGAGAAGCCGUUAUUGUCAGCUACUUCAUUUUGGAGUGUUCUCUCUCUCUCUUUAAACACAAAAUAUAUAACUCCUAUAAGUAGCCUGGAGAGAAAACAAAAAGAGACGUUGCUUAACCAAGGUUUGAAUUAAAGUUGUCAGAUUUUC
Long non-coding RNA from Cavia porcellus (domestic guinea pig), 573 nucleotides. RefSeq lists it as uncharacterized. The transcript is spliced from 3 exons. The record is from RefSeq and is a predicted model, not a curated record. Lineage: Eukaryota; Metazoa; Chordata; Mammalia; Rodentia; Caviidae.